This 607-nucleotide ribosomal RNA is filed under the name Delftia sp. Se2Pt_471. Its description in RNAcentral is "bacterial SSU rRNA". It matches the Rfam family "Bacterial small subunit ribosomal RNA", at positions 396 to 1001 of the family's 1533-position model. The record is from RNAcentral. Lineage: Bacteria; Pseudomonadati; Pseudomonadota; Betaproteobacteria; Burkholderiales; Comamonadaceae.
GCCGCGUGCGGGAUGACGGCCUUCGGGUUGUAAACUGCUUUUGUACGGAACGAAAAAGCUUCUCCUAAUACGAGAGGCCAUGACCGUACCGUUACAAUAAGCACCGGCUAACUACAUGCCAGCAGCCGCGGUAAUACGUAAGGUGCGAGCGUUAAUCGGAAUUACGGGGCGUAAAGCGUGCGCAGGCGGUUAUGUAAGACAGAUGUGAAAUCCCCGGGCUCAACCUGGGAACUGCAUUUGUGACUGCAUGGCUGGAGUACGGGGAGGGGGAUGGAAUUCCGCGUGUAGCAGUGAAAUGCGUAUAGUGCGGAGGAACACCGAUGGCGAACGGAUCCCCUGGACCUGUACUGACGGAAUGCACGAAAGCGUGGGGAGCAAACAGGAUUAGAUACCCUGGUAGUCCACGCCCUAAACGAUGUCAACUGGUUGUUGGGAAUUAAUUUUCUCAGUAACGAACCCCACGCGUGAAGUUGACCGCCUGGGGAGUACGGCCGCAAGGUUGAAACUCACAGGAAUUGACGGGGACCCGCACAAACGGUGGAUGAUGUGGUUUAAUUCCAUGCAACGCGUAAAACCUUACCCACCUUUGACAUGACAUGAAGUUUCC